RNAcentral lists this ribosomal RNA (468 nucleotides) under uncultured bacterium. Its description in RNAcentral is "partial 16S ribosomal RNA". It matches the Rfam family "Bacterial small subunit ribosomal RNA", at positions 28 to 507 of the family's 1533-position model. The record is from RNAcentral.
GACGAACGCUGGCGGCGUGCUUAACACAUGCAAGUCGAACGGAAAGACCCUGCUUUUGUGGGGUGCUCGAGUGGCGAACGGGUGAGUAACACGUGAGUAACCUGCCCUUGACUUUGGGAUAACUUCAGGAAACUGGGGCUAAUACCGGAUAGGAGCUCCUGCUGCAUGGUGGGGGUUGGAAAGUUUCGGCGGUUGGGGAUGGACUCGCGGCUUAUCAGCUUGUUGGUGGGGUAGUGGCUUACCAAGGCUUUGACGGGUAGCCGGCCUGAGAGGGUGACCGGCCACAUUGGGACUGAGAUACGGCCCAGACUGCUACGGGAGGCAGCAGUGGGGAAUAUUGCACAAUGGGCGGAAGCCUGAUGGAGCAACGCCGCGUGCGGGAUGACGGCCUUCGGGUUGUAAACCGCUUUCGCCUGUGACGAAGCGUGAGUGACGGUAAUGGGUAAAGAAGCACCGGCUAACUACGUG